UUGGAGGGCAGUCUGGUGCCAGCAGCCGCGGUAAUUCCAGCUCCAAUAGCGUAUAUUAAAGUUGUUGCAGUUAAAAAGCUCGUAGUUGAAUUUCGGGGUCAGUAGGUUGGUCAUGCCACUGGUAUGUACUGGUCUCACUGAUUCCUCCUUCCUGAUGAGCCGUAAUGCCAUUAAUUUGGUGUUGCGAGGAAUCUGGACUGUUACUUUGAAAAAAUUAGAGUGUUUAAAGCAAGCUAACGCUUGAAUACAUUAGCAUGGAAUAAUGAAAUAGGACGUUCGAUCCUAUUUUGUUGGCUUCUAGGAUUGACGUAAUGAUUAAUAGGGAUAGUUGGGGGCAUUAGUAUUCAAUUGUCAGAGGUGAAAUUCUUGGAUUUAUUGAAGACUAACUACUGCGAAAGCAUUUGCCAAGGAUGUUCUCAUUAAUCAAGAACGAAAGUUAGGGGAUCGAAGACGAUCAGAUACCGUCGUAGUCUUAACCAUAAACUAUGCCGACUAGGGAUCGGAUGAUGUUAAUUUUUUAAUGACUCAUUCGGCGCCUUACGGGAAAC
This 548-nucleotide ribosomal RNA is filed under the name uncultured Glomeromycotina. Its description in RNAcentral is "SSU rRNA". It matches the Rfam family "Eukaryotic small subunit ribosomal RNA", at positions 548 to 1098 of the family's 1831-position model. Lineage: Eukaryota; Fungi; Glomeromycota. The record is from RNAcentral.